UUUUAGAAAUGAUACUUUUAACAUUCCUAAAAUUCAAAACAUCAAUGAUGAUCUGGUGAUACCAAACAUUACGUUGAGAGUUUGAUAUCUCCUUUUUCUCAAUACUAGGAUGUAGAUGUUGUGCUAAGUGACCUUGAGUUAGAGACUCAACUACAACAUAUAUGUUAAUUUAUGAUCUUGUUAUUUAUAUGUAAUUUAUCCCUAUUUUGGAUACCGGUGAUUUCAUGGUUUAUUA
Molecule: long non-coding RNA, 235 nt
Filed under: Trifolium pratense (red clover)
Lineage: Eukaryota; Viridiplantae; Streptophyta; Magnoliopsida; Fabales; Fabaceae
Description: long non-coding RNA (TPRA_LNC004214)
Source: RNAcentral